RNAcentral lists this ribosomal RNA (842 nucleotides) under uncultured Staphylococcus sp. Its description in RNAcentral is "bacterial SSU rRNA". It matches the Rfam family "Bacterial small subunit ribosomal RNA", at positions 63 to 890 of the family's 1533-position model. Lineage: Bacteria; Bacillati; Bacillota; Bacilli; Caryophanales; Staphylococcaceae. The record is from RNAcentral.
CGAACAGAUGAGGAGCUUGCUCCUCUGACGUUAGCGGCGGACGGGUGAGUAACACGUGGAUAACCUACCUAUAAGACUGGGAUAACUUCGGGAAACCGGAGCUAAUACCGGAUAAUAUAUUGAACCGCAUGGUUCAAUAGUGAAAGACGGUUUUGCUGUCACUUAUAGAUGGAUCCGCGCCGCAUUAGCUAGUUGGUAAGGUAACGGCUUACCAAGGCAACGAUGCGUAGCCGACCUGAGAGGGUGAUCGGCCACACUGGAACUGAGACACGGUCCAGACUCCUACGGGAGGCAGCAGUAGGGAAUCUUCCGCAAUGGGCGAAAGCCUGACGGAGCAACGCCGCGUGAGUGAUGAAGGUCUUCGGAUCGUAAAACUCUGUUAUUAGGGAAGAACAAAUGUGUAAGUAACUAUGCACGUCUUGACGGUACCUAAUCAGAAAGCCACGGCUAACUACGUGCCAGCAGCCGCGGUAAUACGUAGGUGGCAAGCGUUAUCCGGAAUUAUUGGGCGUAAAGCGCGCGUAGGCGGUUUUUUAAGUCUGAUGUGAAAGCCCACGGCUCAACCGUGGAGGGUCAUUGGAAACUGGAAAACUUGAGUGCAGAAGAGGAAAGUGGAAUUCCAUGUGUAGCGGUGAAAUGCGCAGAGAUAUGGAGGAACACCAGUGGCGAAGGCGACUUUCUGGUCUGUAACUGACGCUGAUGUGCGAAAGCGUGGGGAUCAAACAGGAUUAGAUACCCUGGUAGUCCACGCCGUAAACGAUGAGUGCUAAGUGUUAGGGGGUUUCCGCCCCUUAGUGCUGCAGCUAACGCAUUAAGCACUCCGCCUGGGGAGUACGACCGCA